GAGAUUUUAGUUAAUAAAUAACAUCAUUUUGUCAAAAUGAAAUUAUCAAUAUUUGAUAAACCUCU
Molecule: transfer RNA, 65 nt
Filed under: Melanozosteria sp. Cairns, Australia
Lineage: Eukaryota; Metazoa; Arthropoda; Insecta; Blattodea; Blattidae
Description: tRNA-Asp
Source: RNAcentral